This 483-nucleotide ribosomal RNA is filed under the name uncultured bacterium. Its description in RNAcentral is "bacterial SSU rRNA". It matches the Rfam family "Bacterial small subunit ribosomal RNA", at positions 30 to 513 of the family's 1533-position model. The record is from RNAcentral.
AUUGAACGCUGGCGGCAUGCCUUACACAUGCAAGUCGAACGGCAGCGGGCCUUCGGGUGCCGGCGAGUGGCGAACGGGUGAGUAAUGCAUCGGAACGUGCCAUUGAGUGGGGGAUAACGUAGCGAAAGUUGCGCUAAUACCGCAUAUUCUGUGAGCAGGAAAGCAGGGGACCGCAAGGCCUUGCGCUCUUUGAGCGGCCGAUGUCAGAUUAGCUAGUUGGUGAGGUAAAGGCUUACCAAGGCGACGAUCUGUAGCGGGUCUGAGAGGAUGAUCCGCCACACUGGAACUGAGACACGGUCCAGACUCCUACGGGAGGCAGCAGUGGGGAAUUUUGGACAAUGGGGGCAACCCUGAUCCAGCCAUGCCGCGUGAGUGAAGAAGGCCUUCGGUGUAAGCUCUUCGGUCCGGACGAAUACGCAUGGUGAAUACCCUGUGUGGAUGACGGUACCGGAACAAGAAGCACCGGCUAACUACGUGCCAGCA